GUGAGGCUGUUUUUGAUGAUUUUUCGGAUUCCAAUUAUGUUUGUUUGUUUGUUUUUUUUUUUUUUUUGUUUGAGCGAUAGGUAGCUCGCUACCCGCUUCGUUUAUUUCAUUUAGAAAUAAACUUAGUUGAAAAUAUGAAUCAACUAGAAUUCGAACUUGGGUCUCGGGUACCAACCACCAAGCCCUUUGCCACUUGCUCUAGGGACGGUUGCUUGCUGGGUUUUUAGUGUUUGCUGGAGUGUUUCUUACUGGAUUCAUGGGCUGUGAGGGAGU
RNAcentral lists this long non-coding RNA (273 nucleotides) under Ananas comosus (pineapple). Its description in RNAcentral is "long non-coding RNA (ACOM_LNC026237)". The record is from RNAcentral. Lineage: Eukaryota; Viridiplantae; Streptophyta; Magnoliopsida; Poales; Bromeliaceae.